UCCCAAACCCAUGUGAACUUAUCUCUUUGUUGCCUCGGCGCAAGCUACCCGGGACCUCGCGCCCCGGGCGGCCCGCCGGCGGACAAACCAAACUCUGUUAUCUUCGUUGAUUAUCUGAGUGUCUUAUUUAAUAAGUCAAAACUUUCAACAACGGAUCUCUUGGUUCUGGCAUCGAUGAAGAACGCAGCGAAAUGCGAUAAGUAAUGUGAAUUGCAGAAUUCAGUGAAUCAUCGAAUCUUUGAACGCACAUUGCGCCCAUUAGUAUUCUAGUGGGCAUGCCUGUUCGAGCGUCAUUUCAACCCCUAAGCACAGCUUAUUGUUGGGAAUCCACGCCUGUGGUUCCUCAAAGACAUUGGCGGAGUGGCAGUAGUCCUCUGAGCGUAGUAAUUCUUUAUCUCGCUUUUGUUAGGUGCUGCCCCCCCGGCCGUAAAACCCCCAAUUUUUUCUGGUUGACCUCGGAUCAGGU
Molecule: ribosomal RNA, 466 nt
Filed under: Nigrospora sp. E14026b
Lineage: Eukaryota; Fungi; Ascomycota; Sordariomycetes; Amphisphaeriales; Apiosporaceae
Description: eukaryotic LSU rRNA
Rfam family: 5.8S ribosomal RNA (bases 140-293)
Source: RNAcentral